This 237-nucleotide ribosomal RNA is filed under the name uncultured bacterium. RNAcentral describes it as "partial 16S ribosomal RNA". It matches the Rfam family "Bacterial small subunit ribosomal RNA", at positions 99 to 334 of the family's 1533-position model. The record is from RNAcentral.
CGAACGGGUGAGUAACGCGUGGGGAACCUGCCUCAAAGAGGGGGACAACAGUUGGAAACGACUGCUAAUACCGCAUAAGCCCACGGCUCGGCAUCGAGCAGAGGGAAAAGGAGUGAUCCGCUUUGAGAUGGCCUCGCGUCCGAUUAGCUAGUUGGUGAGGUAACGGCCCACCAAGGCGACGAUCGGUAGCCGGACUGAGAGGUUGAACGGCCACAUUGGGACUGAGACACGGCCCAG